RNAcentral lists this long non-coding RNA (206 nucleotides) under Elaeis guineensis (African oil palm). RNAcentral describes it as "long non-coding RNA (EGUI_LNC026740)". The record is from RNAcentral. Lineage: Eukaryota; Viridiplantae; Streptophyta; Magnoliopsida; Arecales; Arecaceae.
UGGUAGUGAUGAUUGAAACAAAGAUGUAUAAUCCUCUCUCUGUCUCUAUUUCUCGCUUGUUUUUCUCUUCUUCUAUAAAUAUUUUAAUACCAUGCAAUCUUAAUUACAUGUAAUUAAUGUGAAUGCAUGUACUAGAAGUCUCCGUUGAUAUUAUAAAAUGCCUCUUCCAUCAGUUGUAUUUGUAUAUAUAUAUAUAUAUAACCACA